AACUUGUUUCGUAUGACAAGCAAUGCUUGCCACACUCAUCAGGUGAAUUUAAAAAUCGAUUAUUACUAUUUAAUUUAGAUUUUUAAAUUCACCUGAUGAGUGUGGCAAGCAUUGCUUGUCAUACGAAACAAGUUUG
Paramuricea clavata is the source of this 136-nucleotide non-coding RNA. NCBI's taxonomy places the organism in Eukaryota, Metazoa, Cnidaria, Anthozoa, Malacalcyonacea, Plexauridae. The record is from the annotation of a GenBank genome assembly.